Molecule: long non-coding RNA, 282 nt
Filed under: Chinchilla lanigera (long-tailed chinchilla)
Lineage: Eukaryota; Metazoa; Chordata; Mammalia; Rodentia; Chinchillidae
Description: lncRNA (ENSCLAG00000024904.1)
Source: RNAcentral
GGCAUCUCUAGCCAUCUUGAGUAGCUCUCCUCCACAGCCUUGCAGAGCAACUCGCAAUCUACAACCCCACAGCGUGGCUUGAGAGCAACACCAGAGGCAGCAAGGACAUCAGCAGGGAGUAGACUGCUAGGCAUCGCACCGCCCCCGUGCAGCCCCAGCCCUGUGCAGGCGGGAGCGCCGAGGAGUGCUCAGGCACAUAUGUGAGCCCCGGCGCCCUCCCUCCCUGCUGUUGGAAUGCAGCCUCCCCCGGUGCCAGAACAGACACGGAAGAAGUGUUCCGUU